This 478-nucleotide ribosomal RNA is filed under the name uncultured bacterium. Its description in RNAcentral is "partial 16S ribosomal RNA". It matches the Rfam family "Bacterial small subunit ribosomal RNA", at positions 28 to 523 of the family's 1533-position model. The record is from RNAcentral.
GACGAACGCUGGCGGCGUGCUUAACACAUGCAAGUCGAACGGUAAGGCCCUUCGGGGUACACGAGUGGCGAACGGGUGAGUAACACGUGGGUGAUCUGCCCUGCACUUCGGGAUAAGCCUGGGAAACUGGGUCUAAUACCGGAUAGGACCACUGCCUGCAUGGGUGGUGGUGGAAAGCUUUUGCGGUGUGGGAUGGGCCCGCGGCCUAUCAGCUUGGUGGUGGGGUGAUGGCCUACCAAGGAGACGACGGGUAGCCGGCCUGAGGGGGUGACCGGCCACACUGGGACUGAGAGACGGCCCAGACUCCUACGGGAGGCAGCAGUGGGGAAUAUUGCACAAUGGGCGCAAGCCUGAUGCAGCGACGCCGCGUGAGGGAUGACGGCCUUCGGGUUGUAAACCUCUUUCAGCACCGACGAAGCGCAAGUGACGGUAGGUGCAGAAGAAGGACCGGCCAACUACGUGCCAGCCGCCGCGGUAA